GACCUCAUAGCUCAGUUGGCUAGAGCGUUGGCUGUACUAAAGCCUUCCCCUUGCUGGCGUGGGUUCAAAUCCCACCGAGGUUG
Molecule: transfer RNA, 83 nt
Filed under: Schistocephalus solidus
Lineage: Eukaryota; Metazoa; Platyhelminthes; Cestoda; Diphyllobothriidea; Diphyllobothriidae
Rfam family: tRNA
About the family: Transfer RNA (tRNA) molecules are approximately 80 nucleotides in length.
Source: Rfam by way of RNAcentral